RNAcentral lists this long non-coding RNA (1383 nucleotides) under Chrysemys picta bellii (western painted turtle). RNAcentral describes it as "lncRNA (ENSCPBG00000025727.1)". The record is from RNAcentral. Lineage: Eukaryota; Metazoa; Chordata; Testudines; Emydidae.
GUUAUGACAGGUCAUGAUGCCCUCAGUCAGCAUGGCCUCAAGGUUGAGGAAACCACCAUGGGCCGGUCGGACUUUAGAGAAGGUGGGUGAGAUGGGAAUUUAACUAUCAAAGCCCCUUCUGACCGCUCCCCAUUGGGCUCCUCUCAGAUCCACCUUCCCGGCCAGUGCUGAGCGUAGAUCCCCCAUCGGGAGUGGUGAGCGAAGGGCUCACGCUGCUCAUCAGCUGCAUAGCCCCCAGUGAUGCCAGCGAUCGGAGGUUCCACUUCUACAAGGAUGGAGACGAGCUCGUUCCUGGGGACGCUGGGUCUGAGAUCAGCACCACAGAGCCCAGCACCGGCUCUAUGAACGUCUCUGUGCUCAGCAUCCCACGGGCCGGUCCCAACAACACCGGGGAAUUCACCUGCGGGUACGAGGAGAACGUGAGGGGGAGGUGGAUCCCGUCCCCCAGGAGCCAUGCUGUGACCGUGAACAUCACAGCGACAGGUGAGUUUCCCUAUCCAGAGAGUGUCUGCCCAGCUCCGAUAGAUAGAGUAUUACUCUUGGUUCCUGACCAGUCCCUUGUCACCUUUUCUCUUCUCUCACAAGCAGCCUGGGCCCAAUCUAGAAACUUGCUGCCGGCAUGUGGGAUCCUCAUGGUUCCGGGCAUGGCUCUGGCUGCCCUCGUGUGCUACUGCAGGAGGAACAAGAGAGUUCCGGAGCCUUCGCAAUAUCUGAGGGGAUCUGAGCCCGGGGAAGGCGAUGGGGAACUGGACUCCAGGAGGUGCCAUGAGGAAUUGAAAUCCAGCAGUGUCAGAGUGGACCUACCAGAAGAGGGCUCUGAUGUGUACACACUCCUGACCUUCCCCUCCUCUGCAACGCCCUGAGCACCGGGGAUGGCGACUAGAGCAUUGGGAACAGAGGGGGUACUGCACUGCGAGGGGCUGCCCCGGCACAUCCAGGGAGCCACUCGGUGAGAGGCACGGAGGGAACAUGGAAAUCCAAAUCAGGGGCCCUUUAACAUUCAGGGCUCAGACACCCCAGCCUGGCCGCCUCUCCCUGUGGCCGAUCAUCCAACUGCCCUCAUACACACACGGACAGGGUCCCAUCUCCUCCAGCAGGGGGCAGCAGGGACACACACACACACACACACAGAAGGUCCCAUCUCCUCCAGCAGGGGGAAGAAUUGACACACACACAUGCACACGGAGAAGGUCCCAUCCCCUCUAGAAGGGGGUGAGAGGAACAUACACACACGCACACAAACACACACAUGCACACACAGAGUUCCUACCAUUCUUAACCUUUAUCACUGUCUCUUGCUUUUGUUGCAUUUGCUGUUCCAUUAACAUUCAUUCUCCAAGGACAGAGAAUAAACUCAAUUUCAAUUAGAAAGGCGUGACUGUU